CUCAACAACAAAUAAACUUGGGAGAAAAACUUUCCAUUCUAAAAAAAUUUUUUAACGUUUAUUUAUUUUUUGAGAGACAGAGCAUGAACUGGGAAAGGAACAGAGAGAGAAGGGAAGUCACAGAUUCUGAAGCAGGCUCCAGGCUCUGAGCUGUCAGCACAGAGCCGGAUGCGGGGCUUGAACCCAUGAACCAUGAGAUCAUGACCUCAGCCAAAGUCAGCCUUCUAACAAACUGAGCCAACCAGGCACCCCAAAAACUUUCCAUUCUGACUUUUGUUUCUCCAUGGAUAAUGAUUUCUUCUUCAGCAUAUGGGGACUAAGUGAUAUUCUUAAACAUUGGUACAUACAUAAAUAAGUAUGCAUUAUUUUUCUUGAGAAUAAAAAUAUGAAGAACAAUUAAGAAAUAAAAGCAAUAUUUAUGAGUAAUUUACAGAAAGUCCUAUUAUUGUGCAACUAGUUUAUAUCUGUUUUUUGUUGUUGUGUAAGUAUGCAAUGGAGUAUUUACCACGUUAUCUUGACUGCACCCAUGCUAGGGCUUAGGUGCAGUCAAGGUAGUGAUCCUAUGUGGUCCUUUGCAUGAACAAGUGGACAGAUGGAUUGAAGAAACUUCUGAGAAAAAGUCUCUGGAAAUGGAAGUUCUGAAUACAGCUGAAGCUAAAAGUUGAUCUGACCCAGCUCCUCUGGGAAAAGCCAUCAACUCCAGAAGUAGGAAGGGUCAUCUUCUGUCAGAGGAGGUGCCACAUGGGUUUCUGGCUAAAAGCACCUCCCUACUGGUUCUAUGAAACACUCCAGGUUCCUAUUGUAUAUUUCCUCCCCAGUCCUAGACACAACCACUUCUCCAAGAGACUCUGGGCCUUCUACUGGACAAUGAUAAUAGAAAAUAACAACUGGGUGCUGGGUAUGCUGUUGUUACAGGAUCAUCUGACAGAGAAAAGAAAUGUAUGUAUAUAUACAUAAACAUAUGACUUUUUCUUUAUGUCACCAUCUACAUCUAUAUUAAA
Molecule: long non-coding RNA, 1001 nt
Organism: Acinonyx jubatus (cheetah)
Lineage: Eukaryota; Metazoa; Chordata; Mammalia; Carnivora; Felidae
Exons: 3
Source: RefSeq, a predicted model, not a curated record